AAUGAACGCUGGCGGCGUGCUUAACACAUGCAAGUCGAACGAGGCGGAGGGGGGCAACUCCUUCCAGCCGAGUGGCGGACGGGUGAGUAACACGUGGGUAACCUGCCCGGAAGUGGGGGAAUACCUCGGGGAAACUCGAGCUAAUACCGCAUGACAUCUUCGGGACGAAAGUCCUGACGAUCAAAGCGGGGGUCGCAAGAUCUCGCGCUACCGGAUGGGCCCGCGCCCGAUUAGCUAGUUGGGAGGUAACGGCUCACCAAGGCUUCGAUCGGUAACCGGCCUGAGAGGGGCGAUCGGUCACACCGGAACUGAGACACGGUCCGGACUCCUACGGGAGGCAGCAGUGGGGAAUCUUGCGCAAUGGGCGAAAGCCUGACGCAGCGACGCCGCGU
Molecule: ribosomal RNA, 392 nt
Filed under: uncultured bacterium
Lineage: Bacteria
Description: bacterial SSU rRNA
Rfam family: Bacterial small subunit ribosomal RNA
Source: RNAcentral